GGGAUGAUCAGGUGGAGGCAGUUUAUGGUCACUGCAGAGGGAUGAUCAGGUGGAGGUGGUUUAUGGUCACUGCAGAGGGAUGAUCAGGCGGAGGCAGUUCAUGGUCUCUGCAGAGGGAUGAUCAGGCAGAGGCGGUUCAUGGUCACUACAGAGGGAUGAUCAGGCGGAGGUGGAUUAUGGUCACUGCAGAGGGAUGAUCAGGCGGAGGCAGUUCAUGGUCACUGCAGAGGGAUGAUCAGGCGGAGGCGAUUCAUGGUCACUGCAGAGGGAUGAUCAGGUGGAGGCAGUUCAUGGUCUCUGCAGAGGGACGAUCAGGCGGAGGCGGUUUAUGGUCACUGCAGAGGGACGAUCAGGCGGAGGCAGUUCAUGGUCACUGCAGAGGGACGAUCAGGCGGAGGCGGAUUAUGGUCACUGCAGAGGGAUGAUCAAGUGGAGGCGAUUCAUGGUCACUGCAGAGGGACGAUCAGGUGGAGGCGGUUCA
This is a long non-coding RNA of Bufo bufo (common toad), 481 nucleotides long. RefSeq lists it as uncharacterized. The transcript is spliced from 3 exons. Lineage: Eukaryota; Metazoa; Chordata; Amphibia; Anura; Bufonidae. The record is from RefSeq and is a predicted model, not a curated record.